Molecule: long non-coding RNA, 383 nt
Filed under: Androctonus crassicauda
Lineage: Eukaryota; Metazoa; Arthropoda; Arachnida; Scorpiones; Buthidae
Source: RNAcentral
UCUCUUAUGUAUCGCCACUAUGAUCUGCAUUUAUCAGCUGUCCGGUAUCUGCCCUGUGUGUGUAUUAAGUCGCCUUCCUCUUCUGCGAAUAUUUGGAAUCUGUUCUGCAACUUUAGCCUCUAUUCUUCAUUCUUGUUCUGAAGCUGUCCCAUGUUGAUCUUUUGUCCGCUGCGUUGUCUUAGCUAUCUUUUUUUCACGUUGAAUAUCCAACUUUGGUAUAGACUAGUCAGCGGUCGCUACGGUGCUGAACUGGUUGAGUAUGGAAACGUUUUUGAUUCACUUCAUCCUGGCCAACAACUGUUCAAUCUCAUCUUCAAGAAUGCUGUUGGACAGGAUCAUUCCCAAUGGACAUAUCAAUCUGUACAUUGGGAAUGAUCCAUGUC